RNAcentral lists this ribosomal RNA (1239 nucleotides) under Azospirillum sp. TSH20. Its description in RNAcentral is "bacterial LSU rRNA". It matches the Rfam family "Bacterial large subunit ribosomal RNA", at positions 174 to 1462 of the family's 2925-position model. Lineage: Bacteria; Pseudomonadati; Pseudomonadota; Alphaproteobacteria; Rhodospirillales; Azospirillaceae. The record is from RNAcentral.
GGGAAGCGAACCCGGCGAACUGAAACAUCUAAGUAGCCGGAGGAAAGGACAUCAACCGAGACUCCGCUAGUAGUGGCGAGCGAACGCGGACCAGGCCAGUCAUUCGAUCUACAUAACCGGAACCGUCUGGAAAGUCGGACCACAGUGGGUGAUAGUCCCGUAUGGAUAAACCGGAUCGAAUGCUCGAGUAGGGCGGGGCACGUGAAACCCUGUCUGAACAUGGGGGGACCACCCUCCAAGCCUAAGUACUCCUCAGUGACCGAUAGUGCACCAGUACCGUGAGGGAAAGGUGAAAAGCACCCCGACAAGGGGAGUGAAACAGUUCCUGAAACCGGAUGCCUACAAGCAGUCGGAGCCUCUUCAUGGGGUGACGGCGUACCUUUUGUAUAAUGGGUCAGCGACUUAGAGUAUGCAGCGAGCUUAAGCCGGUAGGUGGAGGCGCAGCGAAAGCGAGUCUGAAUAGGGCGACCGAGUUGCAUGCUUUAGACCCGAAACCUGAUGAUCUAGCCAUGGGCAGGUUGAAGGUGCGGUAACACGCACUGGAGGACCGAACUCACGCCUGUUGAAAAAGUCGGAGAUGACCUGUGGCUAGGGGUGAAAGGCCAAUCAAAUCAGGAAAUAGCUGGUUCUCCGCGAAAGCUAUUUAGGUAGCGCGUCGGAUAUCACCUGCGGGGGUAGAGCACUGGAUGGGCUAGGGGGGCGCGAGCCUUACCAAACCUAACCAAACUCCGAAUACCGCAGAGUGCAGUCCGGCAGACAGACGGUGGGUGCUAAGGUCCAUCGUCGAGAGGGAAACAGCCCAGACCGCCAGCUAAGGUCCCCAAAUCACGGCUAAGUGGGAAAGGAUGUGGGAAGGCCAUGACAACCAGGAGGUUGGCUUAGAAGCAGCCAUCCUUUAAAGAAAGCGUAAUAGCUCACUGGUCUAGUUAAGCCGGCCUGCGCCGAAAAUGUAUCGGGGCUCAAGCCGUGUACCGAAGCUGCGGAUGUGAUCUUUGAUCACGUGGUAGCGGAGCGUUCCGUAAGCCUGCGAAGGGUGUCCGUGAGGCCGCCUGGAGGUAUCGGAAGUGAGAAUGCUGACAUGAGUAGCGACAAACAGUGUGAGAAACACUGUCGCCGAAAGUCCAAGGGUUCCUGCGCAAGGUUAAUCCACGCAGGGUGAGCCGGCCCCUAAGGCGAGGCCGAAAGGCGUAGUCGAUGGGAACCACGUUAAUAGUCGUGGGCCUGGCGGAGGUGACGGAU